GCUUGCUGCUCAGAAAAGAAAUAAACAAAUUGUACUCCAUGCAUCCUAUACAUAGAUGUAUUAGACAGCAUAUGGAAUCGAGAGUUGACCACUUACUUGAGAUUUUUUUAAGAAAAAAAUAAAGUCAUAAAAAACUAAAUCUUAAAUCAUUAACCAGGAGAUAAAAAUUGUCUAUAAAGCAACCAAUCUUUCUCAAAAAGAAUCACAAUAAUGUAUUCCUUAGUAAAGUCAAUAACAAAAUCAAUAAUCCCCCACCUGAUAAGAAAAAUCAAUAAUCCCCCUAAGAACGCAACCUUCCAAAUUUCCAACGCAAAAGAGUCACAAUAUAGAAAAUCUUUACUCGGUUAGGGUGGAUAAAUAAAUGUACCCAGCACAUCCCUCUCUAAGCCAUUAGUAACUAC
RNAcentral lists this long non-coding RNA (401 nucleotides) under Sorghum bicolor (sorghum). RNAcentral describes it as "long non-coding RNA (SBIC_LNC000052)". Lineage: Eukaryota; Viridiplantae; Streptophyta; Magnoliopsida; Poales; Poaceae. The record is from RNAcentral.